ACCUGCUGACAUCUAACUGUGUGCCUACCAAACUGACCCACUGGCCACUUAGGUCUGGUGAGCCCCUAUCCUUUCUUAUGCAUCUGGCAUCUACUGUCCACUGCGGCAGAUCCGUCUUCCUACAGCACCAUCAUUGAGCAGACUUGGACCCCACACCCCAAGUGGCUCCUCAAUCCCAAGAGGAGUGAAGUUUGGGUUGCUUUGCUGCGUAUUCAAGGUUAUUCGCCGACUGUCCUCUUCCUGCCUUGGAACUUGAAUGGCACAUUCCUCUGCCGAUGGCCCCCUCUCACAGUGCAUCCUUCGGCCUGAAGGUCUUGGUCUCCGUAGCCUAAGCCAGACAUGGUAGACCUCUGACCUCCUGCUGGACACCUCCUCUGCAGUCCCUAAGCUAUGAAGCAAAUCGCUGGGCCUCCUCAUUCCCUGAAGAAGCCUGAAUGAAAAUAUGAAGAAUUACAAGAAGUGUGGGGAAUAUCCCUGCAUCUGUGAAUAGAAUUAGACACCUCUGAUCCAUUAGUCUCUACCAUAACCCGGGGUGGAUAAAGGAUGAGGCAAAUUUAAGCUCUGGAUGUGCCUAGGUGCCCCAGACAGAUGCCAUUCCCUGGUGACCUUCUCUCUGAAGGAGGGAAGCCUCCGGGUCUGCUCACCCGGAGGAAACAGCCAGACCGCCGUCUACACCACAGCACGGGAUGAGACCUGAGUUUCCUGAAUAACUGAAUCAGCGACUUCCUAUCUGCCAGGUGCUGGGCUGGACACUACAGAUAUAAUUAUGAGAAAUGAGAUAUGAGCCUCUCACCAAGAGAUUACCAGCCGGUGAGGAGCAGACUCACCAGGAGAAACAUUCAGCCACGUGACAGGGCUGUGACAGGGCUCCCCAGAGCAAGCUGGGGGCAGGGACACUGUGCUUAGCCAAGUGGAUGCUAAAGUGGAACCAACAAAGGCCUCCAGCGGAGGCACCUGCUGAGUUGGGUCUUGAAGCAUGAAAAGGAUUUAACCAGGUAGAAAAGGGACUGGGCAAAGGAGCAGGCAAAGUGGACAGCCCCAUGGUGGGGCUGGGGAACAAGCGGAGAUUUGUAAGCCGUCAGCCUCCUUCCCCCCACUUUGCUGCCCUAAACCCACUUGCUUCUCUUCUUGUGAUGGGACCCACCUGCUCCUCUCAUAGAGAGAAUGCACUUGUACCCCUCUCUUCAUGGCCGGGCACAGACCAGUGCCUGGUGUCACUGGAUGGAGGCCUAAUUGAAAAAGAAUGGACAAGUGUGUGCCUUGGUGUGUUUUCUGGUGCUGUAACCGAUUACCUGAGGUUUGGUAAUUUAUAAAGAAAAAAGUUGUUUUUAUAGUUCUAGGAACUGGGAUGUCCAAGAGCAUCAUACUCCACAUCUAGUGAGGACCUCUGGCCCCUUCGUCACAUGACAAGACAGAGGAAACCAGCUAGAGAGAGCUCACCUCUAUGUCAAAGCUGCUUCUGUGAUAACUGAUGGGUGAAUUCAGCCAAUCAUGAGGUCAGAAGCCUAUGACCCCAUCAAUUCCUGAAGGUCCCAGUUCUCAGUACUGCUGUGGUGAAGACCUGAUUUCCUUGGGAGAUAUAUCCAAGCCAUAGCAAUGUGCCCAGCACUGCUGGAUUUGUUCCCACCCUUGAUGCAGAGACUGCACGCAUCUAGGGCCUUCUGCAGCAAGUUGAAGAUGGCAUGCCCUCUGGACACCUUCUGGAACCUGGUCCUCCACCCAAUGGUGUCAUUCUUGUCCAUAGGACACAACUGAGACUUAUGAAAGAAAGCCAAUUUAAGAAACUGUGAACAGAAAUACUUAGACAAAUAUUGCUUUAAGAACUGGAUUUUAAUGUUAGUGAUUACUUUCUCCCAUCUGAGGUGUUAUGGGCCCAUUCGAAGUGACCCUUCAUCACAGGAUGCUUUGCACUGACACAUAUCAGUCACUUUGCCAUCACUGGGAUGGGGUUUCUGACACCCAAAAUUUAAAAGAAGAGAGACUCCUUUUUGGCUCAUGGCUUUAAAGGGUUCAGUCCAUGGUUGGCUGGCUCCGUGGUGGAAGGUCCGGCAGAGGGCAGCUGCUCAUCUCAGGGCAGCCAGGAAGUGCAGAGAGGGGGGGACACAGGGACCUGCACUUGCAGGUCACACACCAAUGACCACCUCCACCCAGGCCCCACUCCAGUGGCACAUUCAUCAAUGAACUCCUUGGGGGUGAAUUCAUGGAAAAGUAUCGUACUCCCAUGAUCCAAAACCCCACUUUGAACACAAAAAUUUGUGGGGAAUAUUUGAGAUCUAAGCCAUAACAAAACAUAAUACCCAGCUCCAUGUGGACUCUUAAGAAAGGCUCUUGCUGCAAAUCUGCACUUCUCAGCAGAUCAGACCUCCCAGGGCAGCAGACCUCAUACCCCAGGAAGGUUGCUAACACCACGCUGCUUCUGAUCUGAAGCACGUGAAGGUCACUCUGACACCUUAAAUACACCAUACCCAAACCAAGCUCCAGUGGUUUGGCCAGGUCUCUGCACACCUGACCUUCCAGCUCAAACAGCUUCCUCCAAUCAGGUGCCUCACACUCUCUCGCCAGGCCCCGCUGAUUCUACAUGCGGAUUGUAAGGCAGGGGGUUGCCGGUGCAAAGAGCGUGAGGAACUGGGAAACAGGCCUGAAGAUCGGGCCAAACAGACAUGGCUGGAACAGCAAGCGGGGCCCACAGGACACCACCACAGCAAGGUCGUGUUCCCUCAUGCAGGGCGCCCUAGGUUGUGGGCUGGCUGGGACCAAGCAAGGGUCAGCUCUGCUAGCUUUAGUCUGGUGGAGAGGAUGAACUAGACAGGGAGGAAGGGGUGCUGUGAAUUUGACAGCAGGGCAGGUGUGGUAACUGAUGGAGGGAGAAGGUGGCGCUGGAGGUAGAGAGGAUCAGAAAGACCCCCCUCCAUUGCUCUGGGGUGCAGGGGGAGAGAGGAGGGAAUUCAAGAGGAUUCUCAAGCAAGCAGAGGGAGCUACAGAUGGUGAGAGAGGGCCCUGCAGCCUCAGGCACAGAUGUGAGUAUUAACUGCUCCCUUGUCAUUGCAGGAUGGCACUAAUCCAGAGGGGAGCAGCCUCCAAGUUCCCACCGACCGGGGUGGCCGGGGCAGUGAGACAGCAGCUGGCAGGAGGAUCAGCUCGCUCAGGGGCUCAGGGGUGCCCAGGACAGGAGCCAGGCUCCCCAUACCCCACCCCUCUUUCUCUCCCUCUCCCUCCCCUCCCCUUUCUCCUCCAGAAGGGAGCCUGGGUGGUGGAGGUGGGAGGGUGAGACUUCAGGUCUGAAACCAACCACUUUAAGAUCUUUAGCUUCUAGGUGGGGGGUCAGGAUGGGUCCCUUGGAGACAGCAAGAGGGCGGUUUUCUCCUUGCCGAUCACCCAACUUAUGUCAUUGUGAUCGCCGCCACCAUCACCGUUGUCUUCAUCAUCUCCAUCAUCAUCUUCAUCAUCUUCAUCAUCUCCAUCAUCAUCUUCAUCAGUUGGGUUUGUUUUGCCAAAAGACAAAUUUUGUCAGUCCCUUUUAUUCUCAUGGAGUAAAAUGGAUGGUUUUGGACAUCAAGGACAAUCUAUACCUUUGAAAGCUCUAGAGGAAAUCUAAAAUACUUGUUAGACAGGGUGGGGCUAAUGUUUUGUUUACAGUAAAUUUGGAACAGGCAUUUCUGGGAGAGGAAAGUGCUGAGUGUGAACUUCAUCAUAAGAUACUCGGGUGUGCGGGGUCCUUCUGUGGUGGAGAAGGAUGUCACAAUCCCUGUGAUGUUCAUCAGAGAAAUGCCUCGAACUUCAGGUAAUCUAGAUGCACAUUCAAGGGUGUGUUUUGCUUUCUGCAUUCAGUAGAUUUAUGGUUUCAUUUAUUGCAGUCCAAAACAGGAGUUUCUGUGUAUUCCAUUCAGGAGGCUGAAGACUGUCGGUUUGGGUAAAGUGAAUGUUUCACUCCUUUUCGUUUUGGCUUUCGGGAUGAACUCUGUACUGACAUCAAUACCAGCCUGAGACAGUUACUAACCCAAGAAUAUAGAACACAGUGAGCGCCUCCAAGGAGACUGGCCAGGAAGUCACUCCCCGAGACGGAUGUUUUGAAACAUGCUAAAAGAUGUUUUUAAAAGGUGAGAGAUUAUGAAGAACUUACUUUUAGGAACUCACCCUCAUGUAGCCUUGUAGACAGUAUUGAGAUGCUUUUCUCUUUGGGAAAAGAAUAUACGUUUGUUGUGGGAAAUAUUGCAGAUACAGGAAAAAAUAAAAAAUUAAAGCAAUGAUAUAUGAGACAGAAUAAAGGAGAGAAUACAGUCAGUAGGAAUCUCAGCAUUUGAUAGAAAUGCCUAUUUCUUCCAA
This is a long non-coding RNA of Cavia porcellus (domestic guinea pig), 4323 nucleotides long. RefSeq lists it as uncharacterized. The record is from RefSeq and is a predicted model, not a curated record. The transcript has 3 exons. Lineage: Eukaryota; Metazoa; Chordata; Mammalia; Rodentia; Caviidae.